Molecule: long non-coding RNA, 1420 nt
Filed under: Homo sapiens (human)
Lineage: Eukaryota; Metazoa; Chordata; Mammalia; Primates; Hominidae
Description: HSALNT0208947
Source: RNAcentral
AUUCUCCUGCUUCAGCCUCCCGAGUAGCUGGGACUAUAGGCCCGGCCACCACAACCAGCUAAUUUUUUUUUUUUUUUUUUUUUUUUUUUUAGUAGAGACGGGGUUUCACCAUGUUAGUCAGGAUGGUCUCUAUCUCCUGACCUCGCGAUCCGCCCGCUUCGGCCUCCCAAAGUGCUGGGAUUACAGGUGUGAGCCACUGUGCCCGGCUGAAAGCCUGAUAUAUCUUUCUACCAUAGCAAGAACUAGCAGCACCUUACCCAGUAUGAGACCGACCCAGGUCUGCCUUAAUAUAUAUACCGUAAUAUAUACCUAACAGUUUUUUUUUUUUUUUUGAGAGGGAGUCUCGCUCUGUCGCCCAGGCUGGAGUGCAGUAUCGCGAUAUCGGUUCGCUGCAAGCUCCGCCUCCCGGGGUCACGUCAUUCUCCUGCCUCAGCUUCCGGAGCAGCUGGGACUGCUGGCGCCCGCCACUACGCUCGGCUAAUUUUUUUGUGUUUUUAGUAGAGACGGGCUUUCACCGUGUUGGCCUAGCGGUUCUCCAACUCCUGACCUCAUGAUCCCCCCGCCUCAGCCUCCCAAAGUGCUGGGAUUACAAGCGUGAGCCACCGCGACCCGCCAACACUCUUGACAACAGUGCUGUGCUAAGAACUUGGGGGACUUCAAAAAGUUCACCAGUUCCUGUGUCCAUGGGUGAAAAGAUUUUCUACAUCUUUCCUUGACUAGAAACAGAAGUCCUGAAACAAGGUACACCUUCUUGAGGCUUACUUGGUGAGUCUAAUUUGUCUUCUGGCACCACUGUGAAUUUGAAGGCUUACGUCUUCUUCCCUGAUCAUAUGUUUUCUACAUGUCAGGAAUAUAACGUCAGGAGGCCAGAGGCUUUGUCCUGCCUAAUGUGUUAUUUCCACACUGAAUAAAAGCACCUGAGUCCUGAAUUCUCCAAACACCACCUCACACAGUUUUGGAAUCUCUUUGUCUUCAUUUCCCAGAAUUUGGAAGAGUUCAUCUAGUAUCUCUGCAUUUUAAAAAGGUUGUACAUCUAGCAAUACCUAACAAAAUAGGAAAUCAACUUGGAAAGCCAAUGGCUGUGUUUUGAGUUUAUGGAGAGCCAUAUGUGGCAAGGAACUGAGGGUGGCAUCCAGGCAACAGACUUCAAGAAACUGAGGCUGUCAGUCCAACAACCCACAAGAACUGAAUCUGACCAACAAUCACAGGAACAAACUUAGAAGUAUACUCUUUCCCAGACAAACCUUCAGAUGAGACCACAGCCCCAGCCAUAAGCUUGAAAACAAUCUCAUGAGGGACCUUGAGCCACAGGCAUGUAGUAAAGCUAUGCCAGGAAUCCUGCCUGCCCCACAGAAAAUGUAAAAAAAAUAAAUUUUUAUUGUUUUAAGCCACGAAGUUUUGAAGUAAUUUGAUAUAAAAC